This 253-nucleotide ribosomal RNA is filed under the name uncultured bacterium. RNAcentral's name for it is "partial 16S ribosomal RNA". It matches the Rfam family "Bacterial small subunit ribosomal RNA", at positions 524 to 776 of the family's 1533-position model. The record is from RNAcentral.
GACGGAGGUGGCUAGUGUUGUUCGGAAUGACUGGGCGUAAAGGGCGCGUAGGCGGUUUUUUAAGUGAGGCGUGAAAGCCCUGGGCUUAACCCAGGAGGUGCGUUUCAUACUGGAAGACUUGAGUGCGAGAGAGGAAAGUGGAAUUCCUAGUGUAGAGGUGAAAUUCGUAGAUAUUAGGAAGAACACCGGUGGCGAAGGCGGCUUUCUGGCUCGCAACUGACGCUGAGGCGCGAAAGCGUGGGGAGCAAACAGG